CAGGUCCUAGACCUGGAAACCGGGUAAUCCCAUGCUUCCAAGAAAAGCUGCGCACUGAGCCCCUCUAGCGUUCGUACUGCAAACCGACUCAGGUGGGCGGGAAGAAUAUUCCAAGGCGCGUGAGAGAGCCCUGGUUAAGGAACUCGGCAAAUUUGCACCGUAACUUCGGGAGAAGGUGUGCCACUGAUGGUGAUAAGGCUUGCCCUUUGAGCUUUUGGUGGUCGCAGUGAAAUGGCGGUUGUGACUGUUUACUAAAAACACAGGACUCUGCGAAGUCGUAAGACGACGUAUAGGGUCUGAUGCCUGCCCGGUGCUGGAAGGUUAAGGGAAUAUGUUAGGGGCAACCCGAAGCAUUGAACCGAAGCCCCAGUAAACGGCGGCCGUAACUAUAACGGUCCUAAGGUAGCGAAAUUCCUUGUCGGGUAAGUUCCGACCUGCACGAAUGGCAUAACAACAUCCGCACUGUCUCGACCAGGGACUCAGCGAAAUUGCAUCGGGGGUGAAGAUGCCCUCUACCCGCGGCAAGACGGAAAGACCCCAUAACCUUUACUGUAACUUGGCAGUGAUACUCGGGCCAUUCUGCGUAGGAUAGGUGGGAGGCUUUGAAGCCGGUCUUCUGGGAUCGGUGGAGCCAUCGUUGAAAUACCACCCUGGAUGAUUUGGGUAUCUAACCUACUCCCAUGAUCUGGGAGAGGGACACUGUCUGGUGGGCAGUUUGACUGGGGCGGUCGCCUCCUAAAACGUAACGGAGGCGUGCGAAGGUUCCCUCAGGCUGAUUGGAAACCAGCCGUAGAGUGCAAACGCAUAAGGGAGCUUUACUGUGAGACCGACAGGUCGAUCAGUUGCGAAAGCAGGCGUUAGUGACCCGGUGGUCCCGCAUGGAUGGGCCAUCGAUCAACGGAUAAAAGGUACUCUGGGGAUAACAGGCUGAUCGCGCCUGAGAGUCCAUAUCGGCGGCGCGGUUUGGCACCUCGAUGUCGGCUCAUCGCAUCCUGGGGCUGGAGCAGGUCCCAAGGGUUUGGCUGUUCGCCAAUUAAAGCGGUACGCGAGCUGGGUUUAAAACGUCGUGAGACAGUUUGGUCCCUAUCUGCCGUGGGCGCAGGAUACUUGAGAGGGUCUGCCUAUAGUACGAGAGGACCUGGGUGGACGGACCGCUGGUGUUCCGGUUGUCACGCCUGUGGCAUAGCCGGGUAGCCAUGUCCGGAAGAGAUAACCGCUGAAAGCAUAUAAGCGGGAAGCUUGCCUCGAGAUUAGGUAUCCCUGCCGUAAGGCACUAAAGGCCCCUUGUAGACUACGAGGUUGAUAGGCUGGGUGUGGAAGCGUAGCGAUACGCGGAGCUAACCAGUACUAAUAGGCCGUGCGGCUUGACC
RNAcentral lists this ribosomal RNA (1370 nucleotides) under metagenome. Its description in RNAcentral is "bacterial LSU rRNA". It matches the Rfam family "Bacterial large subunit ribosomal RNA", at positions 1574 to 2925 of the family's 2925-position model. The record is from RNAcentral.